RNAcentral lists this ribosomal RNA (468 nucleotides) under uncultured bacterium. RNAcentral describes it as "partial 16S ribosomal RNA". It matches the Rfam family "Bacterial small subunit ribosomal RNA", at positions 28 to 507 of the family's 1533-position model. The record is from RNAcentral.
GACGAACGCUGGCGGCGUGCUUAACACAUGCAGGUCGAACGGAAAGGCCCUGCUUUUGUGGGGUGCUCGAGUGGCGAACGGGUGAGUAACACGUGAGUAACCUGCCCUUGACUUUGGGAUAACUUCAGGAAACUGGGGCUAAUACCGGAUAGGAGCUCCUGCUGCAUGGUGGGGGUUGGAAAGUUUCGGCGGUUGGGGAUGGACUCGCGGCUUAUCAGCUUGUUGGUGGGGUAGUGGCUUACCAAGGCUUUGACGGGUAGCCGGCCUGAGAGGGUGACCGGCCACAUUGGGACUGAGAUACGGCCCAGACUCGUACGGGAGGCAGCAGUGGGGAAUAUGGCACAAUGGGCGGAAGCCUGAUGCAGCAACGCCGCGUGCGGGAUGACGGCCUUCGGGUUGUAAACCGCUUUCGCCUGUGACGAAGCGUGAGUGACGGUAAUGGGUAAAGAAGCACCGGCUAACUACGUG